Molecule: ribosomal RNA, 458 nt
Filed under: uncultured bacterium
Lineage: Bacteria
Description: partial 16S ribosomal RNA
Rfam family: Bacterial small subunit ribosomal RNA
Source: RNAcentral
CCUACGGGAGGCAGCAGUGGGGAAUAUUGCACAAUGGGGGAAACCCUGAUGCAGCGACGCCGCGUGAGUGAAGAAGUAAUUCGUUACGUAAAGCUCUAUCAGCAGGGAAGAAACACUGACCUUACGGUCAGCAGACGGUACCUGAGUAAGAAGCGCCGCCUAACUACGGGCCAGCAGACGCGGUAAUACGUAGGGGGCAAGCGUUAUCCGGAUUUACUGGGUGUAAAGGGAGCGUAGACGGUGCGCCAAGUCUGGAGUGAAAUGCCGCGGCUUAACUGCGGAACUGCUUUGGAAACUGGCGAACUAGAGUGCGGGAGGGGUAAGCGGAAUUCCUGGUGUAGCGGUGAAAUGCGUAGAUAUUAGGAGGAACACCGGUGGCGAAGGCGGCUUACUGGACCGUAACUGACGUUGAGGCUCGAAAGCGUGGGGAGCAAACAGGAUUAGAUACCCGGGUAGUC